ACAACUUUUAACAACGGAUCUCUUGGUUCUCGCAUCGAUGAAGAACGUAGCAAAGUGCGAUAACUAGUGUGAAUUGCAUAUUCAGUGAAUCAUCGAGUCUUUGAACGCAACUUGCGCUCAUUGGUAUUCCAAUGAGCACGCCUGUUUCAGUAUCAA
This 156-nucleotide ribosomal RNA is filed under the name Mucor racemosus f. racemosus. Its description in RNAcentral is "5.8S ribosomal RNA". It matches the Rfam family "5.8S ribosomal RNA". Rfam says of the family: 5.8S ribosomal RNA (5.8S rRNA) is a component of the large subunit of the eukaryotic ribosome. Lineage: Eukaryota; Fungi; Mucoromycota; Mucoromycetes; Mucorales; Mucoraceae. The record is from RNAcentral.